CUUGAGUGCAGGAGAGGAGAGUGGAAUUCCUAGUGUAGCGGUGAAAUGCGUAGAUAUUAGGAGGAACACCAGUUGCGAAGGCGGCUCUCUGGACUGUAACUGACGCUGAGGCACGAAAGCGUGGGGAGCAAACAGGAUUAGAUACCCUGGUAGUCCACGCUGUAAACGAUGAGUACUAGGUGUCGGGGGUUACCCCCUUCGGUGCCGCAGCUA
This 213-nucleotide ribosomal RNA is filed under the name Clostridioides difficile. Its description in RNAcentral is "partial 16S ribosomal RNA". It matches the Rfam family "Bacterial small subunit ribosomal RNA", at positions 641 to 854 of the family's 1533-position model. Lineage: Bacteria; Bacillati; Bacillota; Clostridia; Peptostreptococcales; Peptostreptococcaceae. The record is from RNAcentral.